UACGUAGGGGGCAAGCGUUAUCCGGAUUUACUGGGUGUAAAGGGAGCGUAGACGGCAGUGCAAGUCUGAAGUGAAAGGCGGGGGCCCAGCCCCCGGACUGCUUUGGAAACUGUGCUGCUGGAGUGCAGGAGAGGUAAGCGGAAUUCCUAGUGUAGCGGUGAAAUGCGUAGAUAUUAGGAGGAACACCAGUGGCGAAGGCGGCUUACUGGACUGUAACUGACGUUGAGGCUCGAAAGCGUGGGGAGCAAACAGG
RNAcentral lists this ribosomal RNA (253 nucleotides) under uncultured bacterium. RNAcentral describes it as "partial 16S ribosomal RNA". It matches the Rfam family "Bacterial small subunit ribosomal RNA", at positions 524 to 776 of the family's 1533-position model. The record is from RNAcentral.